This 739-nucleotide ribosomal RNA is filed under the name Micropholcus fauroti. RNAcentral's name for it is "eukaryotic LSU rRNA". It matches the Rfam family "Eukaryotic large subunit ribosomal RNA", at positions 373 to 891 of the family's 3401-position model. Lineage: Eukaryota; Metazoa; Arthropoda; Arachnida; Araneae; Pholcidae. The record is from RNAcentral.
ACUUUGAGAGAGAGUUCAAGAGUACGUGAAACUGCUCAGGGGCAAACGGGUGGGCCCUCGAAGUCCCCGGGAGAGGGAUUCAGCCUCUUUACGGUACGACGCCGCAACCGACGGACUCCUCGAGGAGCCGCGGCGGCGGAGAGUCGGACUGUGAAGGGACGCACUUUCCUCUCCCAUCGAGGACGCCGCAGCCGGUGGGACGUCGGCGGUGAGGAACCUACGCGGAGGUGGCGUGGACCGCGGCCGAAGAGCCGAGAGUCCCGUGUCUGCCGCGCCGGGGAAUCCGCGCGCGACGUCCGACCGAGGGUAAUCACGAUAARUGAUGUGGCCGCCGCCUAGCGAGCGGGACCCCGAGUCAGGGAAGGCGAGCGUCGGCGAGUCACCGAGCGGUGUCCGUCUAYGUCUCGCUGCCCGGUGGGCCGGGUCGACCCGCGGCGCGCGAGUCACGGCUUGCGGCGAGUAGGUCGGUAACCCACCCGACCCGUCUUGAAACACGGACCAAGGAGUCUAACAUGUGCGCGAGUCAGUGGGACUCGAACAAGCCCACGGGCAGAACGAAAGUGAGAACCGUCGGGAUCCCUCGGUCCCGGCCGAGGGCGCACCGACAGCCUGGCGCGACCCACUACGUGGAAUGGGCCGGAGCCGGAGCGCACACGUUGGGACCCGAAAGAUGGUGAACUAUGCCCGGGCAGGUCGAAGCUAGAGGAAACUCUGGUGGAGGACCGCAGCGGCUCUGACG